Molecule: non-coding RNA, 1508 nt
Organism: Sus scrofa (pig)
Lineage: Eukaryota; Metazoa; Chordata; Mammalia; Artiodactyla; Suidae
Source: RefSeq, a predicted model, not a curated record
AACUCUAUUCUGGUUGUACAGGGAUGGGCUUAGGUUUGCGGGUCCUCUGUUCCCGCGCUCGUCUCCCGGAUUUGUGUUCCCAGCUGCAGGUGGCGGAGGCGACACGAAAUGCCCAGUGACCGUGCCCCGCAGGGGGUGGGUAGAAGCCCCUCUCCCACGUUUCCCUCCGCCACUCCCAGCCCAGCUUUGUCCUUUGACUUAAGCUAAGUGACGAGGUGGGUUAGGAAAGGCCUUGGAGACAAGACACUAGCAUUUUCUGAGAUGGCCACAGGGUUGGUUUCUCUGAGCCCGCUCUCUUCGGCUUGCUCAGGCUGACUCCUCACGUGGCCUUUCCCGUAUGUGAGGCCAUUCCUGGCCCCUUUCCUCUCACUUGGACCCCAGUCUCAUGACCUCUCCUAACCUUAAUCAUGUCUCUAAAGGCUCCGUCUCCAAAUAAGAGUCAUAUUGCAGGUUGGAGCUUCAGUGCGUGGAUUUUGCGAGGGGCAUACAAUUCAUUCCAGAACAGUUGGGAACUUACUACUCUCUUUUCCCACAGCACCCAGCACCGUGUCCCGUAAAACGGUGUCACAGUGGAUGUGGGAUCAUGGGAUGAUCACAGCAGGGCUUUGGGGGCCUCUAUGACGGUUCAUCUUGGUGCACAGAUGUCACAUUGCCACUUCCGGCGACUGGACUAGAGCAUCUGUCUUGGCAUCCUGCCCUCUUCAGAACCCACGCUGGAUUCUUUUAGGUGAGCAAAGGGCUCAUCAUUAUCGGCCCCCAUUUUAAUUAAUUUUAAUUGUCCAAGGCCCACUUGCCAGAUCAUAUGUCUUAGCUUACGGUCACAGCCGAAAGAGAGCCUUUAGGGCAUGUGGCUAGUCUCCCAUAGCUAAGUUACUCCCUGUUAUUGAGCCUUCCUCAGGCCAGAUGGCUGAUUUCCAGAUGAGUUCUCUUCCAUACAGUUGAGGGCUGCUAUCAGGAAACCAAGCUGCUUUUUUUUUUCCCUUUAAUCAGGGCUUCCACUUGGCAGUGGGAAAGUUCGUUCUUGGGACUGGGGUGUUAUUGUCAGUCCAGUAGUGGUGCUGCCACUCAUCAUAAAUGUGACACAUGCCCCUCUAAGGGGCCCACAUCUAUAUUCCUUGCGGCCUGUGUGUUGGAGAAACCAAACUGUUUCCGUUUUUAGAAAGGUGAAGUAUGUUGCAUAACCCCUCUUAGGGGUUUGGGGUAGUACUCCAUAACCUAACACAUUAACAUUUCUGGAACAAAAUGUUUGAGUAUAUCCACUAAUUGGGAUAAACAGUUUUCAGUUCCCCAGCAGAUGAGUUCAGCUUAGCUCAUGUUUUCUAACCAAAUGGAUUAUGAGAAAACAUGUUUGCCCUCAGAGAUUUUUUUUUUGAGAGUAUUAAAUCGUUUUCUGAUGACGCAUGAUAAUGGAUGAUACACAAGCUUCAUUCCCAUCGCUCUCAUAAUUCCAUUUAGCUAUACUGCCUAGGAUGUGCCAACAAUCAUAUUAAUAACCAAAAAAAAAAAAA